Molecule: ribosomal RNA, 254 nt
Filed under: uncultured bacterium
Lineage: Bacteria
Description: partial 16S ribosomal RNA
Rfam family: Bacterial small subunit ribosomal RNA
Source: RNAcentral
UACGGAGGAUCCAAGCGUUAUCCGGAUUUAUUGGGUUUAAAGGGUGCGUAGGCGGCCUGUUAAGUCAGGGGUGAAAGACGGUAGCUUAACUAUCGCAGUGCCUUUGAUACUGGUGUUCUUGGGUGACCUUGAGGUAGGCGGAAUGGGUGGUGUAGCGGUGAAAUGCAUAGAUACCACCCAGAACUCCGAUUGCGAAGGCAGCCUACUGGAGGUUUACCGACGCUCGAGGCACGAAAGCGUGGGGAUCAAACAGG